AUACGAAAGGUGCAAGCGUUGUUCGGCUUUACUGGGCGUAAAGAGAUCGUAGGUGGUUUGUUAAGUUGGAUGUGAAAUCCCGGGGCUCAACCUCGGAACUGCAUCCAAAACUGGCAGACUUGAGUUCGGGAGGGGUAAGCGGAAUUCCGUGUGUAGCAGUGAAAUGCGUAGAUAUACGGAGGAACACCUGAGGCGAAGGCGGCUUACUGGACCGAUACUGACACUGAGGAUCGAAAGCGUGGGUAGCAAACAGGAUUAGAAACCCUAGUAGUCC
RNAcentral lists this ribosomal RNA (274 nucleotides) under uncultured bacterium. RNAcentral describes it as "partial 16S ribosomal RNA". It matches the Rfam family "Bacterial small subunit ribosomal RNA", at positions 523 to 796 of the family's 1533-position model. The record is from RNAcentral.